RNAcentral lists this ribosomal RNA (1496 nucleotides) under uncultured bacterium. Its description in RNAcentral is "16S ribosomal RNA". It matches the Rfam family "Bacterial small subunit ribosomal RNA". The record is from RNAcentral.
UUGAUUAUGGCUCAGGAUGAACGCUAGCGACAGGCUUAACACAUGCAAGUCGAGGGGCAGCGGUGGUGAAGGCUUGCCUUUACCAGCCGGCGACCGGCGCACGGGUGAGUAACACGUAUGCAACCUGCCUGCCACAGCCGGAUAAUCGGGAGAAAUUCCGUCUAAUACGGCAUAAUGCAUCGACGGGACAUCCUGUUGGUGCCAAAGGUUGAUUCCGGUGGCGGAUGGGCAUGCGUCGCAUUAGUUAGUUGGCGGUGUAACGGACCACCAAGACGACGAUGCGUAGGGGUUCUGAGAGGAAGGUCCCCCACACUGGUACUGAGACACGGACCAGACUCCUACGGGAGGCAGCAGUGAGGAAUAUUGGUCAAUGGGCGGGAGCCUGAACCAGCCAAGUCGCGUGAGGGAUGACGGCCCUAUGGGUUGUAAACCUCUUUUGCCGGGGAGCAAAGUGCCGCACGUGUGCGGUUUGGAGAGUACCCGGAGGAAAAGCAUCGGCUAACUCCGUGCCAGCAGCCGCGGUAAUACGGAGGAUGCGAGCGUUAUCCGGAUUUAUUGGGUUUAAAGGGUGCGUAGGCGGACGCUUAAGUCAGCGGUAAAAUUGCGGGGCUCAACCUCGUCGAGCCGUUGAAACUGGGUGCCUUGAGUGGGCGAGAAGUACGCGGAAUGCGUGGUGUAGCGGUGAAAUGCAUAGAUAUCACGCAGAACUCCGAUUGCGAAGGCAGCGUACCGGCGCCCAACUGACGCUGAAGCACGAAGGCGUGGGUAUCGAACAGGAUUAGAUACCCUGGUAGUCCACGCAGUAAACGAUGAAUGCUAGUUGUCCGGGGCGAUUGAGUUCUGGGUGACACAGCGAAAGCGUUAAGCAUUCCACCUGGGGAGUACGCCGGCAACGGUGAAACUCAAAGGAAUUGACGGGGGCCCGCACAAGCGGAGGAACAUGUGGUUUAAUUCGAUGAUACGCGAGGAACCUUACCCGGGCUCAAACGCAGGAGAGAUGUUUUUGAAAGGAGGCAGCCAGCAAUGGUCUCCUGCGAGGUGCUGCAUGGUUGUCGUCAGCUCGUGCCGUGAGGUGUCGGCUUAAGUGCCAUAACGAGCGCAACCCCUACCUACAGUUGCCAUCGCGUGAUGGCGGGCACUCUGUGGGGACUGCCUGCGCAAGCAGUGAGGAAGGCGGGGAUGACGUCAAAUCAGCACGGCCCUUACGUCCGGGGCGACACACGUGUUACAAUGGCAGGUACAGCGGGAAGCCACCCGGCGACGGGGCGCGGAACCCGAAAACCUGUCUCAGUUCGGAUUGGAGUCUGCAACCCGACUCCAUGAAGCUGGAUUCGCUAGUAAUCGCGCAUCAGCCACGGCGCGGUGAAUACGUUCCCGGGCCUUGUACACACCGCCCGUCAAGCCAUGGAAGCCGGGGGUGCCUGAAGUGCGUGACCGCAAGGAGCGCCCUAGGGUAAAACCGGUGAUCUGGGGAUAAGUCGUAACAAGGUAACCGU